CGCGACUCCGCGGUCUACGGCGGCGCGCAAUCAUCUGCUAGUCCGCCCGUCACGGCACGGGGCGGAAGACGAGAGGA
This 77-nucleotide non-coding RNA is filed under the name Parafannyhessea umbonata. RNAcentral describes it as "RNA". It matches the Rfam family "aspS RNA". RNAcentral also lists the same sequence under 1 other name. The record is from RNAcentral. Lineage: Bacteria; Bacillati; Actinomycetota; Coriobacteriia; Coriobacteriales; Atopobiaceae.